This is a long non-coding RNA of Cyprinus carpio (common carp), 906 nucleotides long. RefSeq lists it as uncharacterized. The transcript has 3 exons. Lineage: Eukaryota; Metazoa; Chordata; Actinopteri; Cypriniformes; Cyprinidae. The record is from RefSeq and is a predicted model, not a curated record.
CCAACUAUCUAAUGUGCAUCUUGAGAGGAAUGUCAACUAUCAAUAGCUUGCAGGAGACGAACUUAACUGCAAGUAACCCAGUGAAAAUCAGGCAAUAGCCUAACGACAGUUUGCGCAAAAAUGACAGCGGCGGUAUUUGCAAACACAAUAGGAUGUGGAGGAGGAGCAUAUUGUCAUGGAGCAAGCAAUGGGUGGUGUGGCCAUGGCCCCACGCGGUUUAAAAGAGGAAGACAGAGACUCCACUAGGCUCAUCCCCUGAACUUGGACAAGUUAUGCAAGAGGAGCCUAGAGCUAAAGCAUCUGUUAAGAGCAAACAUUUCACGAUCUGGCGUGUCUUACGGACUUCCCUGACCGCUCGAUCUGUGCAUUCUACUAUGCGGGCCUGAGCGAGCGGUGUAAGGCACGCCUCCCAGCGAACGGUCCCAGAGAGGAUUUCGCGGCUUUCGUGGAGUGGGUACUGGAGAACAAUGGAUCCCGAUUUACCAUCUGCACCGCCGAAGAGGAUAUCUACAGCCCCACUCCCGAACCAGAGACCAGCCAGCCACCAUCCCGCUGCACGGAGCUAGAGCCCACCGCAGCCGCAGAGCCCGAGCCUAUCACCGACAGGGAGCAGGAGCUCGAGAGCGCGACUGACCAGGUGUGUGAGCCGGCAACACCGUGCGUCAUGGGACGAUUGGUGGAGAUCGAGGGCAUGGAGGAAAGCCCUGCUCACAUUCCUGCGACUGAGGGUGAGCUGCAUUUGGUUUCUGGGAAUUAUAGAGAGGAAUUAUUGGACCUUAUAGACUGGUUUGGCGAGGCAAUUCCCUAUCCUCCUGUUUCUCCGCUGGUUCCGCCCAGCCCUGAUCCUCCUGUUUCUCCGCUGGGUCCGUCCAGCCCUGACCCUCCUGUGUUCCCUCCCAACCUCCC